RNAcentral lists this small nuclear RNA (117 nucleotides) under Capsicum annuum. RNAcentral describes it as "U4 spliceosomal RNA". It matches the Rfam family "U4 spliceosomal RNA". From Rfam's summary of the family: U4 small nuclear RNA (U4 snRNA) is a component of the major U2-dependent spliceosome. The structure of U4 snRNA from yeast and human has been reported. U4 snRNA presents a k-turn RNA motif in the 5p-SL related to recognition of Snu13 protein. Lineage: Eukaryota; Viridiplantae; Streptophyta; Magnoliopsida; Solanales; Solanaceae. The record is from Rfam by way of RNAcentral.
AUCUUUGCGCUUGGGGUAAUGACGCAACUAGUGAGGUUCUAAUUGAUGUCCAUCUAUUUCUAGUUGAAAUCUAUUUCCAAAGCUCUUCAUAAGAAAAAAGGACAAAUCACAAAAAAU